AUUGAACGCUGGCGGCAGGCUUAACACAUGCAAGUCGAACGAGUGGCGGACGGGUGAGUAAUGUCUGGGAAACUGCCUGAUGGAGGGGGAUAACUACUGGAAACGGUAGCUAAUACCGCAUACCAUCAGAUGUGCCCAGAUGGGAUGAGAUAGUAGGUGGGGUAAUGGCUCACAUAGGAGACGAUCCCUAGCUGGUCUUAGAGGAUGACCAGCCAAACUGGAACUUAUCCUCGGUCCAGACUCCUACGGGAGGCAGCAGUGGGGAAUAUUGCACAAUGGGCGCAAGCCUGAUGCAGCCAUGCCGCGUGUUUGAAGAAGGCCUUCGGGUUGUAAAGCACUUUCAGCGGGGAGGCGUUACUCGCAGAAGAAGCACCGGCUAACUCCGUGCCAGCAGCCGCGGUAAUUC
Molecule: ribosomal RNA, 406 nt
Filed under: uncultured bacterium
Lineage: Bacteria
Description: partial 16S ribosomal RNA
Rfam family: Bacterial small subunit ribosomal RNA
Source: RNAcentral